AAUACAAAUUGUAUUCAUUGUAUCAAGACAAUACGCAACAUAACCAACACACCAUAGUUACAAUCUGUCAAUCUGACUAAUCAAGUUCCAACGUCGGCAGCUGCAAACUGCACAAUAUAAAUUAUCAAAUGCGAACAACGGCAACGGUAUGUCAACUGCAUGAAUGAACGGACCAACUGCAGAGUUUAUAGAUCCAGCUUAAAAAUAAGCUUGAAUUUGAGGUGAAUAGAAAAGUGAAGUCAAAAAUUUGAAAUUUGAAUCAGCAAAAGAAAUGCAGACAAAGGUACAGCGCCGGGACACCGGUACAAUCUAUAGUCCUGUGUGGAAAGUCCAGGUGUCCUGUUAAAGUCUAAAGUUAAGUCUAAAGUCCAGGUGUCCUGUUAAAAUAAGACGUAGUAUCGUUUCUAUGAUCAGCAUGAUUUAACUAUAAAAGAAGCCACAGCAGAAAUGAUAA
This is a long non-coding RNA of Dendroctonus ponderosae (mountain pine beetle), 454 nucleotides long. RefSeq lists it as uncharacterized. The record is from RefSeq and is a predicted model, not a curated record. Lineage: Eukaryota; Metazoa; Arthropoda; Insecta; Coleoptera; Curculionidae. The transcript has 2 exons.